This is a long non-coding RNA of Folsomia candida, 411 nucleotides long. RefSeq lists it as uncharacterized. The transcript has 3 exons. The record is from RefSeq and is a predicted model, not a curated record. Lineage: Eukaryota; Metazoa; Arthropoda; Collembola; Entomobryomorpha; Isotomidae.
GAAUGAUUGUUCAAAUCCGGUAUAAAUAGAAGCCAUUCAUACACUAGAGGUAGCAUUUGCAUUUCGAAGAGCUUCAAUUCUAAAAGAAACCGAGGAGAAAAUUUCUCCAGACAAAAUUUCGAGAUUUCCAACCAUGGGAUCCGUCAAGAUUAUCCUCAUCCUGAUAGUGCUGACAGCCCUCUUGGCCCCAGUGCUGUGUCAAGCAGAAGGAAAGCCAUGCCAAGCUAAUGGCUUCAACAUUCCGGGCACGAUAUGCAAAACAGAAUGCGACAUCGUAUCCGGAAUCGGUAUUUGUAAUGCUGAGUUGAAGUGCUGCAUACUUUUCUGAUCGCAAAACAGAAUAUCUUGAAAUACAAUUGCUGAAUUGAAUCAAACAAUGAAUACAAAAUAAAGAUUUAUAAAAUUGCAAAA